Camelus dromedarius (Arabian camel) is the source of this 1509-nucleotide long non-coding RNA. RefSeq lists it as uncharacterized. The record is from RefSeq and is a predicted model, not a curated record. The transcript is spliced from 2 exons. NCBI's taxonomy places the organism in Eukaryota, Metazoa, Chordata, Mammalia, Artiodactyla, Camelidae.
CCAACAAAAAAUGUUCAGAACACGUGAACUAUUGAAAAGGAAAGGCUGGGGAUUGCAGUUCCCGCUCCUUCUCUUUGAGAUCCACGUGAACCCGUGUGGAAGUAGCUGCGACUUUUGCCAGCUUUGCAGCCAGGAGCGCCUUUCCCGGGGGCUGGAAACGUCUCUGAGAUGGAGCUGGGGGGGGGGGGGGCUUUCCCGUCCUGGGAGGGAGGAGCCCGCCGGCAGAGGCCGCCCGGCUGCACGUCCACCUCCUGCUGUGAGGGCGGGGCCUGUGCGUCCUUGGUGUGGAGGCCACUAGCUAGCGCGGGGGUCCCCCCCGCUGACGGGGGCUGGGGGUGAGCUCUGCGCCGGUGGUGCCGACCGGCCCGGCCCCUCCCCUGGGAGCAGGCGUGCUGGGCGGAGCCCGGUGGCUGUGGGGAGGCGAUUCCUUCCGUUCCGACAGCCUCCCGGGGGUUCCGGCGCCGCAGCGCGCACCGCGGGACGGGUCAAUGCAGAUUCACGUAGCUGUGCAGGACACCGGGCCAUCGGAAAUCCCUGUGCCGCCCUGGGACUGGAGAAAAUCGAGCACGGCCCUCCCGCGGAGGCCGGGGUCGUUGGGCCCCGGCACCGGGCCCGCCUGCCGCACGCGCGGGGAGGGGGCGGUUACGCCGACUGCGCGUUGCUGGGGGGACAGGGAGGUUCGGGGAGCGAGGCCUCUGGCCCAGCGUGCUAGGCGCGGGGAGGCAGGGCAGGAAGUAAGCCUCGAAUUGUCUAGAACCCGGGCCUGGGCUGGUUCUGACGUCACACGUGCCUCUGCGGUGAGUCAGGCUGAGAGUACAAAUUAUUUCCCUGUGAAAUUCAAGUAAAGGGGGACAAGUCCUUUCUCAAAUGCUGCCGAAACCUCGGGGGAAAGUCGUGCAGGUUUGGGAAACGCAUCCCGGCGCACGACCCUGAGGGGUUGUUGGCUUUGCUCUCCCGAACAGAAGCGUGAGCCAGUGGAAAGGCCGCUGCCCUCAGUCUGAGAAGUUUCCUUAGAAGAAACACAAUGUUCUGGAACACAGGAGUGGAAUGAAGAGAAGGGAGACUUGGUGGGGGGCCCGUUUUGUGGGCAGAUGGACAACAGCGCGGGAGGUCAUGGGGCACCUGGCGCCAGCGAGCUCGAGUGGCUGUCGGUGCUGGAAGCUCCCGGCACGGCUGACAGACUCUGGAUUUAGAGGCUGGCUCCGCAGGUCCCCUCUGAGGGCGUGUUGUCCCCCAGCCAGCUUGUCACCCCAGCAUCCUUGGGGUGGACGUUCCAGAUUGAGCCCAAUACGUGGCAAGUCACGCUGUAAAGAAGGUCCCCUGUCCUGCACAUCACCUGUCAGCUUGUGGGGUGCAAACUCCUCCGGCAGAAAACAGAACGUCCACAUACUCCAGCUGGGAAAAUUGCGUCUGACUCCUGGGGGGCCAGGACCUCCAGCGGACAAGACUGUUAAGGGUACCAGGGUAAAUGUAUUCAAAAUUCGGGCCAAUAAAAUAACAGUGUAUUCA